Molecule: long non-coding RNA, 791 nt
Filed under: Gallus gallus (chicken)
Lineage: Eukaryota; Metazoa; Chordata; Aves; Galliformes; Phasianidae
Description: long non-coding RNA NONGGAT002923
Source: RNAcentral
AAGAGAAUUGUGAGCGAUGUUUUGAUAACAGUUUUAUGAAACAUGCCGAACUGUGCAAUAUGUACUGGUUGUUAUCACCAUGAUGACUGCAUCCAUCAUGACAGCAUAUGUUUUUCAGAAGGUGUGGGGAAAAUACUGGUGAAUGAACAGGCAGCUCUGCCAUCGACUCUGUGGCUGUCUCUGAUCACUGAGAACCACUGUUUGGAAUCGCUUUUAUGCACUGUUUCCUUACAGAAGAGACUUAGGCCAUUUUCUUGUCUUGCUUUUCCUAGCUGCAGUGCUGGGUAGCAGGGAGAAGAGGACGUGGGUAACAGCACAAAAAGCCACCUAUACUGUCAGCUGGAGCCGAAGCGUAUGGGAGCAAUGCCGGGCUGGCCCGCCUGGUGGCAAACUGCUGUCACUGGCAGCACCUCUCUGCUGAGCAAGUUUGGAAACAACGAGCGCGCUCACUGGGAUUUCAGGCUGGCUGUAAUUGUUUGAAUGUAAUGCCAUUCUCUGUAUUCAUCCAAGAAGAUGCAGCCUUUUCAAAAAUCUCACCUUCAGUCAAUGAAACGGAGGACCCCAUACCACAAGGCCUGAUUCUGUUAGCUUCCAUGUAUCCAAAGCUACAGUGACUCAGCUGACUUCGAUGAAUGCCCUCUGGAACUGUGCUAGCUGGAAACCAGCCUCACUCCUACCACCAUGGAACUUUUUUUAUGCUGUGACAUUGUAAUGGGAGGUGGAGACACCUCGAGGAGAAGGUCGAAACAGACACAGCAAUUGCAGGCAGUAAUGUCUGUCUAUGACUGGAG